CUGCUCUGCAUGCACUGACCAGAAAAGAUCUGUUUUCCAGAGGCUUGCAAUAUCAUCCCUGAUUUUUUUCCAUGCCCUGUAAGCUCUGAAAAUGCAAAGGAUACACAGGAAAGCUGCCAUGGUUCACUUGUGUGGGAUGAAAUGGCAGAGGAAAAGGAUUUUCUGAGGAGGGGACACCAAGGAUUCAGGGAAGGCUUCUCCAAGCCAGCAUCCAAGAGGCAGAUUCCAAAAUUGAGCAGUUGCAUCUCCUUGACCCCCAGGUUGUUCUGCUCCAUUGGUCUGGGAUGGUUUGAUCUUGAAGUUCCUUCCUCAGCCAGAUGCUGCUUUUUAAAGAUUUCCAUUUGCAGCUCAAAAAUAUAGGAAUAUUGAAGUGAGGGCUGGGAAGCAAAAUCAGUUCCCAAAAGUCAACAAAAAUG
Long non-coding RNA from Chiroxiphia lanceolata (lance-tailed manakin), 416 nucleotides. RefSeq lists it as uncharacterized. The transcript is spliced from 3 exons. Lineage: Eukaryota; Metazoa; Chordata; Aves; Passeriformes; Pipridae. The record is from RefSeq and is a predicted model, not a curated record.